Molecule: ribosomal RNA, 339 nt
Filed under: uncultured Geobacillus sp.
Lineage: Bacteria; Bacillati; Bacillota; Bacilli; Caryophanales; Anoxybacillaceae
Description: bacterial SSU rRNA
Rfam family: Bacterial small subunit ribosomal RNA
Source: RNAcentral
UGCAUGGUUGUCGUCAGCUCGUGUCGUGAGAUGUUGGGUUAAGUCCCGCAACGAGCGCAACCCUCGCCUCUAGUUGCCAGCAUUCGGUUGGGCACUCUAGAGGGACUGCCGGCGACAAGUCGGAGGAAGGUGGGGAUGACGUCAAAUCAUCAUGCCCCUUAUGACCUGGGCUACACACGUGCUACAAUGGGCGGUACAAAGGGCUGCGAACCCGCGAGGGGGAGCGAAUCCCAAAAAGCCGCUCUCAGUUCGGAUUGCAGGCUGCAACUCGCCUGCAUGAAGCCGGAAUCGCUAGUAAUCGCGGAUCAGCAUGCCGCGGUGAAUACGUUCCCGGGCCUU